Molecule: long non-coding RNA, 236 nt
Filed under: Elaeis guineensis (African oil palm)
Lineage: Eukaryota; Viridiplantae; Streptophyta; Magnoliopsida; Arecales; Arecaceae
Description: long non-coding RNA (EGUI_LNC064532)
Source: RNAcentral
GGGUACCAUUGCUAGAUAGUCACUUCGAUUAGUACAGGUAUUGGUUCCUGUGCUACCGGCUUAGGUUCGAACCCGCGGGGUCACACACAUUAGAGGUUCCUAUCUGAUCUGAUGGCUGAUGAAGAGUCCUAAUGCUCAUGGACUAAGAGUCCUACUUGUCUGGGACUCUGUGAUCGAGAAUCAGAAUUCUCUGAUCAUGAGUCCCACACAUUUUGGGUACCGGGGUCAAGAGUCCC